UCUCAGUUGGAACUCAACAUGCCCGUCACGCGCUCUGAGGCUCAGGCCGCUCGCGUUCAUCCACGGAGGUCCCACAGACUUUGCUCCAAGAUGCUGCAGCAGGAGAAGAAGUCACCCGGGCUGAAAGUGCUGAAAGUGCAGAACGCUCAGCUUGUUGGGAAGGUUCAACCCCUGUUGCCUUUUCCUCGACGCCGACGCUCCUGUCCCUCCGACAAAACAUCAAGGAAGCCUGGACCUCAGCACCGACCCGACCCGGCAGCCUCCAGGGUCCCGACCCGGCCUCCGCCUCAGUGCCUGCAGCCCACACUCGCAGCCUCAGGGAGGAGCGGCCGCUGGGCGGAACCAGAGGAGAACCAAGGUGAGCCGCACGCUGCAGAGGACGUGCUGUACCUUUACCCCACAUGCUCUCCCAUUCACGGCCUCCAGGAAGACUGCGUCCAACCGCCUAGGACGAUGCGUGUGUAGGUGAGGAGGCAGAUCAUAGGAUUAUGUGGCUCCACCUUUACUGAUUCCACUGUUUCUGCUUGUGACAGAUGACGGACGAGAUGAUUUGUGCCAAGAUGAGCUGAGAACUUCCAGCUGGAUCAGAUUUUUACAAACACAAUAAAAUUGGGCAAACUGGCGUUGGCUGUGUGCUU
Molecule: long non-coding RNA, 638 nt
Filed under: Betta splendens (Siamese fighting fish)
Lineage: Eukaryota; Metazoa; Chordata; Actinopteri; Anabantiformes; Osphronemidae
Description: lncRNA (ENSBSLG00000013002.1)
Source: RNAcentral